RNAcentral lists this long non-coding RNA (1831 nucleotides) under Fukomys damarensis (Damara mole-rat). RNAcentral's name for it is "lncRNA (ENSFDAG00000032614.1)". Lineage: Eukaryota; Metazoa; Chordata; Mammalia; Rodentia; Bathyergidae. The record is from RNAcentral.
CGGAGGGGAGAAAUGGCCGGAGCUGGAGAGCCAGGCUCUGCCAGGCGCUUGCUGUGGGGCUUUGAGUUUGUGAAAAACAUGCCUGUGCCUCAGUCUCCCCUUGGGCAAGAUGAGGAUAUUCAUUGUGAGUGUGGGUCUGUUCCUCUCUCCUGACAGGGCUACGCUGAAUGGAAACAGUGAGCGGCUGCAGAAGGCUAAGUAAGGGUGGUAAAGAUGCCAGCACGAUGCUUACGAAAGGUUUUGCCUCUCCAAACCCACUCAGCCUUCAUCAAAAGGUCACGACGUAAGCACAAUUCUUAAGAUCUCCAUUCGUCCAGUGGAGCAAUGGAGGCACAGAGUGGGUGAGUAACUUGGCCAAGGUUGCACAGCCAGAAUACGGGAGAUUGAACUCUGCACCUGGACAGCUUGGUCCCAGCCACUGUGCAGGAAUCAUCUCAAAGGUGCUGGCUUUUGCCGGAAAUGCAGUCUCGGGUUACACAACCAAAAGUGGCCCAAGAGUUUUACAUUUUACCUUGAACUGGCGAGUAAUAGUUGCAUAUAUUUGAGGGGUACCUUGUCAGAUCUUGAUAUGUGUUUAUAUGGUGGCAUGACUGCGUCUCAGGUUGACAGCACCUCCGUCCCCUCGCAUGCUGCUCCUUUGUCUGAUUGCAUUGCAUUUCAGAUCUGGAUCUGUUGCCUUUGUUAAUGAAGAAGCUCACAUUUCUGCAUUACAGCACAGGUUUGCCGUGUGCCUCAGCCUGCUCAGGACGGGCCGUCAUCUCUACAUGGCAAAAGCCAGCCGGAGUUGUGCCGCCCCGCCUCUGCCGGUCUGCAGCACCCCCCGGGGUCAUCGUCCUGUACUUCGGCAAUUCUAGAGAAACCAGUGCCACCAAAUCGGAGGUGAGGAAGUCUGCGUUGCAUUUUGCACAGAGCUAGCACUGAAGGUCCGGAGGUGAGGAUCAGACCUUAGUCUUGCUGUGAGUGUAGCAGAAGCCACAGAGCCCCUGGACACCCCAACAGGCCGUCCUUCCCUAGUGGGACCAAGAAGAAGGUGAGAUCCGAGGAGGUUGCGGGUACGGAGGAAGACACCUCACAGGCUGCACAAUUUGGACUACAGCGGCUCAGAGUAGGCGGGAGAAGCUUGUCAGCGGGGCAUGGAAGUGUUCCGGGAUCCAGAAGUCAGGCACAUUCUCAGUUUUAGUCCAUUUUUCACCACUAUACCAAAAGACCCAAGGCUGGGAGGCUGUAUAAGGAAAAGAGGGUCAUUCAGCUCAACCUUCUAAAGGCUCAACGGCCUCCAUCUGGUGGCAGCUUUUUUGUUGGCAGGGCCCCGAGAUGGCAAAGGGCACCCCUGACAAGAGACCAGAAGUGCACUGUGUCUCUUCAGGUCUUGAUCGAUUUUUACAAAGCUACCAGGGUUCAAUCACAGUGGCUCCAAACUGCUUCCCUUGCCUAACCCUAAUGGCUACCCAAAGUCCUCACCUCUCAACCCCUUUGAGGGCCUCAGAGAUGGGAUUAAAUAUCAGCAUGUGAAGUCGCGGGGGAGGCGCUCACACCACAUCCUGGCCACAAACAGCCAAGGAUGUGUGCCAGGCAGAGACAGGGUGGCUGGCCAGGGAGUCGGGAGUUGUCCUCGGGCUUCAGGAGCAGACGAUGCACCAGAGGGCACAAGUCUCACUAGUAAAUCGGAGCACGGGUGGCAUACUUAGUGCCCACAUCUGACUUGUUAUCUAUAAACAGGGGAAUCUCAAUGAAGAUAAAAACGGGAGCCCUGACACCAGAAAGUCACAGCCAGCAUAAAAAGUUGAGUAAAGAUCCCAGCUUCUCGUCCCAGACACUGGACAUUCCGGGC